GACGAACGCUGGCGGCGUGCCUAAUACAUGCAAGUAGAACGCACAGUUUAUACCGUAGCUUGCUACACCAUAGACUGUGAGUUGCGAACGGGUGAGUAACGCGUAGGUAACCUGCCUGGUAGCGGGGGAUAACUAUUGGAAACGAUAGCUAAUACCGCAUAAUAUUAAUUAUUGCAUGAUAAUUAAUUGAAAGGUGCAAUUGCACCACUACCAGAUGGACCUACGUUGUAUUAGCUAGUAGGUGAGGUAACGGCUCACCUAGGCGACGAUACAUAGCCGACCCGAGAGGGUGAUCGGCCACACUGGGACUGAGACACGGCCCAGACUCCUACGGGAGGCAGCAGUAGGGAAUCUUCGGCAAUGGACGAAAGUCUGACCGAGCAACGCCGCGUGAGUGAAGAAGGUUUUCGGAUCGUAAAGCUCUGUUGUAAGAGAAGAACGGGUGUGAGAGUGGAAAGUUCACACUGUGACGGUAUCUUACCAGAAAGGGACGGCUAACUACGUG
This 505-nucleotide ribosomal RNA is filed under the name uncultured bacterium. RNAcentral describes it as "partial 16S ribosomal RNA". It matches the Rfam family "Bacterial small subunit ribosomal RNA", at positions 28 to 507 of the family's 1533-position model. The record is from RNAcentral.